Molecule: ribosomal RNA, 253 nt
Filed under: uncultured bacterium
Lineage: Bacteria
Description: partial 16S ribosomal RNA
Rfam family: Bacterial small subunit ribosomal RNA
Source: RNAcentral
UACGGAGGGAGCUAGCGUUGUUCGGAAUUACUGGGCGUAAAGGGCUCGUAGGCGGCCAACUAAGUCCGACGUGAAAUCCCAAGGCUUAACCUUGGAACUGCGUCGGAUACUGGAUGGCUUGAAUUCGGGAGAGGGAUGCAGAAUUCCAGGUGUAGCGGUGAAAUGCGUAGAUAUCUGGAGGAAUACCGGUGGCGAAGGCGGCAUCCUGGACCGACAUUGACGCUGAUGAGCGAAAGCUAGGGGAGCAAACGGG